Molecule: ribosomal RNA, 1162 nt
Filed under: Chryseobacterium rhizosphaerae
Lineage: Bacteria; Pseudomonadati; Bacteroidota; Flavobacteriia; Flavobacteriales; Weeksellaceae
Description: bacterial SSU rRNA
Rfam family: Bacterial small subunit ribosomal RNA
Source: RNAcentral
AGAGGGUGAUCCCCCACACUGGUACUGAGACACGGACCAGAUUCCUACGGGAGGCAGCAGUGAGGAAUAUUGGACAAUGGGUGCAAGCCUGAUCCAGCCAUCCCGCGUGAAGGACGACGGCCCUAUGGGUUGUAAACUUCUUUUGUAUAGGGAUAAACCUAGAUACGUGUAUCUAGCUGAAGGUACUAUACGAAUAAGCACCGGCUAACUCCGUGCCAGCAGCCGCGGUAAUACGGAGGGUGCAAGCGUUAUCCGGAUUUAUUGGGUUUAAAGGGUCCGUAGGCGGAUCUGUAAGUCAGUGGUGAAAUCUCACAGCUUAACUGUGAAACUGCCAUUGAUACUGCAGGUCUUGAGUGUUGUUGAAGUAGCUGGAAUAAGUAGUGUAGCGGUGAAAUGCAUAGAUAUUACUUAGAACACCAAUUGCGAAGGCAGGUUACUAAGCAACAACUGACGCUGAUGGACGAAAGCGUGGGGAGCGAACAGGAUUAGAUACCCUGGUAGUCCACGCCGUAAACGAUGCUAACUCGUUUUUGGAUUUUCGGAUUCAGAGACUAAGCGAAAGUGAUAAGUUAGCCACCUGGGGAGUACGUUCGCAAGAAUGAAACUCAAAGGAAUUGACGGGGGCCCGCACAAGCGGUGGAUUAUGUGGUUUAAUUCGAUGAUACGCGAGGAACCUUACCAAGGCUUAAAUGGGAAAUGACAGGUUUAGAAAUAGACUUUUCUUCGGACAUUUUUCAAGGUGCUGCAUGGUUGUCGUCAGCUCGUGCCGUGAGGUGUUAGGUUAAGUCCUGCAACGAGCGCAACCCCUGUCACUAGUUGCCAUCAUUAAGUUGGGGACUCUAGUGAGACUGCCUACGCAAGUAGAGAGGAAGGUGGGGAUGACGUCAAAUCAUCACGGCCCUUACGCCUUGGGCCACACACGUAAUACAAUGGCCAGUACAGAGGGCAGCUACACAGCGAUGUGAUGCAAAUCUCGAAAGCUGGUCUCAGUUCGGAUUGGAGUCUGCAACUCGACUCUAUGAAGCUGGAAUCGCUAGUAAUCGCGCAUCAGCCAUGGCGCGGUGAAUACGUUCCCGGGCCUUGUACACACCGCCCGUCAAGCCAUGGAAGUCUGGGGUACCUGAAGUCGGUGACCGUAACAGGAGCUGCCUAGGUUAAACCA